AACGAACGCUGGCGGCAUGCCUAACACAUGCAAGUCGAACGAGACCUUCGGGUCUAGUGGCGCACGGGUGCGUAACGCGUGGGAAUCUACCCUCAGGUUCGGAAUAACUCAGAGAAAUUUGAGCUAAUACCGGAUGAUGACGUAAGACCAAAGAUUUAUCGCCUGAGGAUGAGCCCGCGUAGGAUUAGGUAGUUGGUGAGGUAAAGGCUCACCAAGCCGACGAUCCUUAGCUGGUCUGAGAGGAUGAUCAGCCACACUGGGACUGAGACACGGCCCAGACUCCUACGGGAGGCAGCAGUGGGGAAUAUUGGACAAUGGGCGAAAGCCUGAUCCAGCAAUGCCGCGUGAGUGAUGAAGGCCUUAGGGUUGUAAAGCUCUUUUACCCGGGAUGAUAAUGACAGUACCGGGAGAAUAAGCUCCGGCUAACUCCGUG
Molecule: ribosomal RNA, 433 nt
Filed under: uncultured bacterium
Lineage: Bacteria
Description: partial 16S ribosomal RNA
Rfam family: Bacterial small subunit ribosomal RNA
Source: RNAcentral